AUAAAGUUUGAUUCUUGCUUUUUAUUUAAUUAAUAGGUAUUAUUGCAUGUAAAUUUUUGUUAGUAUUUUUGUUCUUAAUGAUUAAUUUUUUAUUUUCAGUAUUUUAUAUUUUUAUUUUAAUAAUUUAAUUAAAGAUAAUCUUUUAAAAUUGAAUAAUGUUGUGCCAGCAUUCGCGGUUAUACUUCAGAUUUAGGUUAAAUUUUUUAGUUUUCAGAUUUUUUUUUUUUUUAUAUAUUUAGGUUAAAUUUAUAUAUAAUUAAGUUUAUUUAGUCUGUCAAAUCUUGUUUAUAGACCAGGAUUAGAUACCCUGUUAUUCAAAAUUAUAUUAAUUAGCUUGGGAAUUAGGUUAAGUUUGAAAUUCAAUGGAUCUGGCGGUUUUUUAAUCUUUUUAGAGGAACCUGAAUUUUAAAUGAUAGUCCACGAUUAAUUUUACCUAGUAUUUCUUGUAUAUCUCUGUCGUUGAAUGUAAUAAAAAUUUAUUUUCUUUUUUUUUUAUUGAAUUUAUGUUAGGUCAAGGUGCAGUUAUAACUAGGUAAAUUUGGGUUACUUUAAUUUUAGUUUUUUGAUUAAUUUUUUUAUGGGGAUUAUGAAUUUGGAUUUAAAAGUAAUUUUUUUUAUUAAAUAUUUUGAAUUUAGCUCUAAAUUAUGUACAUAUCGCCCGUCAUUCUCACAUAGUGAGACAAGUCGUAACAAAGUAGAUGUAUCUGAAGAUGUAUCUAGAAUCAG
This 726-nucleotide non-coding RNA is filed under the name Paracatonidia sp. SX-2018. The record is from RNAcentral. Lineage: Eukaryota; Metazoa; Arthropoda; Insecta; Hemiptera; Achilidae.